CUCACUCUACAACCGCACAGAAAUGGUUUUAAACAUUACGUACCAUAAUGGCGAGUCUUAGUUAAUAA
Firmicutes bacterium CAG:884 is the source of this 68-nucleotide regulatory RNA element. NCBI's taxonomy places the organism in Bacteria, Bacillati, Bacillota. The record is from Rfam.